CGCGUAGGUGGUAGUGCAAGUCUGAGGUGGAAUCCCAGGGCUUAACCCUGGAACUGCCUUGGAAACUGCACUACUUGAGUCAGUGAGGGGAGGAUAGAAUUCCUGGUGUAGCGGUGAAAUGCGUAGAUAUCAGGAGGAAGGCCGGUGGCGAAGGCGGCCCUCUGGCGCUGAACUGACACUGAGGCGCGAAAGCGUGGGUAGCAAACAGGAUUAGAUACCCUGGUAGUCCACGCCCUAAACGGUGGGUACUAGGUGUAGGGCUCGUAAGGGUUCUGUGCCAAAGCGAAAGCAUUAAGUACCCCGCCUGGGGAGUACGGCCGCAAGGUUGAA
Molecule: ribosomal RNA, 330 nt
Filed under: uncultured bacterium
Lineage: Bacteria
Description: bacterial SSU rRNA
Rfam family: Bacterial small subunit ribosomal RNA
Source: RNAcentral